AACAGGCUAAUUUGCGCAAGAGAGUACAAAUUGAGUGCGCGGUUUGGCACCUCGAUGUCGGCUUAGCUCAUCCUCAUGCAUGCAGAAAUCAUGAAGGGUUCGACUGUUCGUCGAUUAAAGAGCUACACGAGUUAGCGCAGACCAAUGAUUGAGC
This 154-nucleotide non-coding RNA is filed under the name Penicillium coprophilum. RNAcentral describes it as "Bacterial large subunit ribosomal RNA". It matches the Rfam family "Bacterial large subunit ribosomal RNA", at positions 2476 to 2630 of the family's 2925-position model. Lineage: Eukaryota; Fungi; Ascomycota; Eurotiomycetes; Eurotiales; Aspergillaceae. The record is from Rfam by way of RNAcentral.